UGGGGAAUUUUGGACAAUGGGGGAAACCCUGAUCCAGCCAUCCCGCGUGUGCGAUGAAGGCCUUCGGGUUGUAAAGCACUUUUGGCAGGAAAGAAACGUCAUGGGUUAAUACCCCGUGAAACUGACGGUACCUGCAGAAUAAGCACCGGCUAACUACGUGCCAGCAGCCGCGGUAAUACGUAGGGUGCAAGCGUUAAUCGGAAUUACUGGGCGUAAAGCGUGCGCAGGCGGUUCGGAAAGAAAGAUGUGAAAUCCCAGAGCUCAACUUUGGAACUGCAUUUUUAACUACCGGGCUAGAGUGUGUCAGAGGGAGGUGGAAUUCCGCGUGUAGCAGUGAAAUGCGUAGAUAUGCGGAGGAACACCGAUGGCGAAGGCAGCCUCCUGGGAUAACACUGUCGCUCAUGCACGAAAGCGUGGGGAGCAAACAGG
RNAcentral lists this ribosomal RNA (429 nucleotides) under Acidobacteriota bacterium. Its description in RNAcentral is "Acidobacteria bacterium partial 16S ribosomal RNA". It matches the Rfam family "Bacterial small subunit ribosomal RNA", at positions 355 to 776 of the family's 1533-position model. The record is from RNAcentral. Lineage: Bacteria; Pseudomonadati; Acidobacteriota.